RNAcentral lists this ribosomal RNA (976 nucleotides) under human gut metagenome. RNAcentral's name for it is "bacterial LSU rRNA". It matches the Rfam family "Bacterial large subunit ribosomal RNA", at positions 1950 to 2925 of the family's 2925-position model. The record is from RNAcentral.
CCUAAGGUAGCGAAAUUCCUUGUCAGGUAAGUUCUGACCCGCACGAAUGGCGUAAUGAUCUGGGCACUGUCUCGACAGCCCACCCGGCGAAAUUGUAGUACUGGUGAAGAUGCCAGUUACCCGCAACUAGACGGAAAGACCCCAUGGAGCUUUACUGCAGCUUAAUACUGGAAUUCGGUAACCCAUGUACAGGAUAGGUGGGAGGCUUGGAAGCAGGGGCGUCAGCUCUUGUGGAGCCGCCGGUGGGAUACCACUCUUGGAUUGCUGAAUUUCUAACCUGCGGCCGUGAAUCCGGUCGGGGGACACUGUUAGGCGGGCAGUUUGACUGGGGCGGUCGCCUCCAAAAAGGUAACGGAGGCGCUCAAAGGUUCGUUCAGCACGGACGGAAAUCGUGCAUUGAGUGUAAACGCAUAAACGAGCCUAACUGCGAGACCGACGGGUCGAGCAGUAACGAAAGUUGGAGUUAGUGAUCCGGUGGUAUGUGAGUGGAAAUGCCAUCGCUCAACGGAUAAAAGCUACCCUGGGGAUAACAGGCUGAUCUCCCCCAAGCGUCCACAGCGACGGGGAGGUUUGGCACCUCGAUGUCGGCUCGUCGCAUCCUGGGGCUGAAUUCGGUCCCAAGGGUUUGGCUGUUCGCCAAUUAAAGCGGCACGCGAGCUGGGUUCAGAACGUCGUGAGACAGUUCGGUCCCUAUCUGUUGCGGGCGUAAGAGAUUUGAAGGGAGCUGUCCUUAGUACGAGAGGACCGGGAUGGACGUACCUCUGGUGCACCAGUUGUCCUGCCAAGGGCAUAGCUGGGUAGCUAUGUACGGACGAGAUAAACGCUGAAAGCAUCUAAGCGUGAAACUCCCCCUAAGAUGAGAUCUCUCAUUCGAAAGAAGUAAGGACCCAGAGAGACGAUCUGGUUGAUAGGCGCGAGGUGGAAGUGCAGUAAUGUAUGGAGCUGACGCGUACUAAUAGUCCGAGGGCUUGACCUA